Molecule: ribosomal RNA, 440 nt
Filed under: uncultured bacterium
Lineage: Bacteria
Description: partial 16S ribosomal RNA
Rfam family: Bacterial small subunit ribosomal RNA
Source: RNAcentral
CCUACGGGAGGCAGCAGUGGGGAAUAUUGGACAAUGGGGGAAACCCUGAUCCAGCGACGCCGCGUGAGUGAAGAAGUAUUUCGGUACGUAAAGCUCUAUCAGCAGGAAAGAAAAUGACGGUACCUGACUAAGAAGCCCCGGCUAACUACGUGCCAGCAGCCGCGGUAAUACGUAGGGGGCAAGCGUUAUCCGGAUUUACUGGGUGUAAGGGGAGCGUAGACGGCAGCGCAAGUCUGGAGUGAAAUGCCGGGGCCGAACCCCGGAACUGCGUUGGAAACUGUGAAGCUGGAGUGCAGGAGAGGUAAGCGGAAUUCCUGGUGUAGCGGUGAAAUGCGUAGAUAUCAGGAGGAACACAGGCGGCGAAGGCGGCCUACUGGACUGUAACUGACGUUGAGGCGCGAAGGCGUGGGGAGCAAACAGGAUUAGAUACCCGUGUAGUC